UCUAAAGAGAAUUUGGGUUGACUCUUUAAACAUAACCAGAAUUUAAUAAAUAAAGCUCUCUGAUGAGCCGGCUUUAUUACUAACUAUUUGUUUAUAAGCCAUGAGUAUUACUAGCAGUUUCUAAAUAUUGUUUCUGGAAGUGGACGUUGUGGAAGUAGUGUAGUGUCAGCGGGGAAUUGCCAUGGACGCAGUUGUCAGUGAGAUGCAGAAGAAGCUGAGGGUGUGACUACAAGGGAAAACUGGAGGUGGAGCUCUGAGAUCUAGUCCUUGGUCCGCAUCCUUUCUAAGGCUGCGUUCACAGGAAAACGCUCAAACACCCUAUACCCUUUGGAUUGGGACUGAAGAGUAAAAUUACUGUGCAGUGGAGCGCUACUUUACAAAAGGCGUUUGGGUGACCAGCCAGUUUCCCCGUGUAGUUAUGAACUACAGAUAGAAUCCGCAGAAGCCCUCAGAAGGCUGUUUGAAAUUGAGAUGUUUUAAUUUAACAUCACAUGGAACUUUGCAAAUGGCAGAAAAAUAUCUUUUGGGACCCGGCCAUUGUUUCUGUAGUCAGAUUUCUGUCUUAUUGGCAGAUACAUUUCAUGUUAGCUUCAUCUUCUUAGCUGAUAGCAAGGCUGUUGGUUCCUUGAGGCACAGGCUUGGGAACCUGUCACUUAGGGAGCUCCAUGAAAGGGAGCCUUUGGCUGUGAGAAUACUCUGAAGGGAUCUGAAGAGCACACUUCUG
Myotis brandtii (Brandt's bat) is the source of this 724-nucleotide long non-coding RNA. RefSeq lists it as uncharacterized. The record is from RefSeq and is a predicted model, not a curated record. Lineage: Eukaryota; Metazoa; Chordata; Mammalia; Chiroptera; Vespertilionidae. The transcript has 3 exons.